Molecule: ribosomal RNA, 399 nt
Filed under: uncultured bacterium
Lineage: Bacteria
Description: bacterial SSU rRNA
Rfam family: Bacterial small subunit ribosomal RNA
Source: RNAcentral
AUUGAACGCUGGCGGCAUGCCUUACACAUGCAAGUCGAGCGGCAGCGCGUCCGACCACCCUCGGGUGGUCGGAUGGCGGCGAGCGGCGGACGGUGAGGAAUGCAUCGGAAUCUGCCUCGUUGUGGGGGAUAACGUAGGGAAACUUACGCUAAAGUACCGCAUACGGACCUACGGGGUGAAAGUGGGGGACCUUCGGGCCUCACGCGAUGAGAUGAGCCGAUGCCGGAUUAGCUAGUUGGCGGGGUAAAGGCCCACCAAGGCGACGAUCUUUAGCUGGUCUGAGAGGAUGAUCAGCCAGACUGGGACUGAGAACGGCCCAGACUCCUACGGGAGGCAGCAGUAGGGAAUUUUCACAAUGGGCGAAAGCCUGAUGGAGCAACGCCGCGUGCAGGAUGAAUG